This 730-nucleotide ribosomal RNA is filed under the name Pelagodinium bei. RNAcentral describes it as "eukaryotic LSU rRNA". It matches the Rfam family "Eukaryotic large subunit ribosomal RNA", at positions 84 to 823 of the family's 3401-position model. The record is from RNAcentral. Lineage: Eukaryota; Dinophyceae; Suessiales; Suessiaceae.
UAAUGGCGAACGAACAGGGAUGAGCUCGGCUUGGAAACUGGGGCCUUGGCCUUGGAUUGUAGCCUCUAGACAUAGUGCCAACGGAGGCGCAGGUGCAAGCCUCUUGGAAAAGAGCAUCAAUGUGGGUGAGAAUCCUGUGUUUCACUUGCAGUCCACCGUGCACGGCACAUGUUCUCAGAGUCGCGUUCCUCGGAAUUGGAGCGUAAAGUGGGUGGUAAAUUUCAUCUAAAGCUAAAUAUAGGCUUGAGACCGAUAGCAAACAAGUACCAUGAGGGAAAGAUGAAAAGGACUUUGAAAAGAGAGUUAAAAGUGCAUGAAAUCGCUGAAAGGGAAGCGAAUGGAACCAGUCUUCUGGCUGAGAUUGCUGCAUGCUACUGUGAUGCCUGGCUGCUUCAACGCAAGUGUUGUAGUUAGAGUUGAUCAGCUGCGUGUGGUGUUUCUCAGCUUGUUAGUCAACCUCUGUUUGCGCUUGGGGAUAGCCUCAGGUACACGUCGCUUCUCUGCGGAGUUGCUCCUGUGCUUGUAGGGACUCAGGUGCGUACUUUUGGUGACAAAAUGGUUCUCUUCGACCCGUCUUGAAACACGGACCAAGGAGUCUAGCACAUGUGCAAGUUCACAGGUGGCAAGCCUGCUUGCGCAAUGAAGGUGACUGCUGGGAUAUUUGCACCAGCAACCGACCAAUCAAUUGAGAGAAGUUUGAGUAUGAGCAUAUGUGUUAGGACCCGAAAGA